Molecule: long non-coding RNA, 658 nt
Organism: Pseudopipra pipra
Lineage: Eukaryota; Metazoa; Chordata; Aves; Passeriformes; Pipridae
Exons: 2
Source: RefSeq, a predicted model, not a curated record
UACCAGCACUGCAGCAAACACUGGAAUUGUAUCCUGACCCAAAUCACUUGUUAAAUAAGCCAUGGUCAAGCCUGGUGUUUCUACAAAGGCCUCUUUUCCAGAGGAGAAGAUAUCACUUCAGAAGUAGCAGAGAAGGAAUCACACCCCGGGGUCCCGGGGCCACUCAGUUCAAAACGUGCAGAGCCGGAGUCAGGGACAGAACUGCUGGAGUGGGGAGAAUUGCAUCACUGCAGCCUGGCAGCCUCAUCCAACAUCAGUCCUGGAGGCUCACCUGCAAACAGCACUGAGCCCCAGCAGCCUGUGCAGCCCCUGGAGCAGAGGCAGUGACUCUCAGGUGCUCGGUGUGGAACGGCUCCCAAGGGAUUUGCUGGAUCCGGCUUCACUUCUGUGUGUCUUCUGCUGAAACGUGGAUUGGAGCCAUCAUGACAGCACAGCCCUUUCCAGAUGUGACAGCACAUGGCUGCAGGCACACUUUUUAACAGGCUGCAGGGCUGGGAAGACAUUUUAUGAUCUAGCCCUGGAAGUGCUGAUGGAAACACUAAUGAAUACACAGAAUCCUGUUAUUGUCCAGGGCUUAGUCACACAAGGAUCCACACAACGGUCCAGCUCCAGACCAAAAAACUAAUAAAGGCCCACCUGGCAGGAACAUGAAGAGGAA